This 499-nucleotide ribosomal RNA is filed under the name uncultured bacterium. RNAcentral's name for it is "partial 16S ribosomal RNA". It matches the Rfam family "Bacterial small subunit ribosomal RNA", at positions 28 to 507 of the family's 1533-position model. The record is from RNAcentral.
GACGAACGCUGGCGGCGUGCCUAAUACAUGCAAGUCGAGCGAAGUUUUUCUGGUGCUUGCACUAGAAAAACUUAGCGGCGAACGGGUGAGUAACACGUAAAGAACCUGCCUCAUAGACUGGGACAACUAUUGGAAACGAUAGCUAAUACCGGAUAACAUUAUUUCUCGCAUGAGAGAUAUUUAAAAGUUGGUUAUGCUAACACUAUGAGAUGGCUUUGCGGUGCAUUAGCUAGUUGGUGGGGUAAAGGCCCACCAAGGCGACGAUGCAUAGCCGACCUGAGAGGGUGAUCGGCCACACUGGGACUGAGACACGGCCCAGACUCCUACGGGAGGCAGCAGUAGGGAAUCUUCCGCAAUGGGCGAAAGCCUGACGGAGCAACGCCGCGUGAGUGAAGAAGGAUUUCGGUUCGUAAAGCUCUGUUGUUAGGGAAGAAUGGAUAUGUAGUAACUAUACAUGUAAGAGACGGUACCUAACCAGAAAGCCACGGCUAACUACGUG